Silurus meridionalis is the source of this 780-nucleotide long non-coding RNA. RefSeq lists it as uncharacterized. NCBI's taxonomy places the organism in Eukaryota, Metazoa, Chordata, Actinopteri, Siluriformes, Siluridae. The transcript is spliced from 2 exons. The record is from RefSeq and is a predicted model, not a curated record.
UUAAACUAAGGCCUUUCUCUUUCCAUUAAAUGCCAGUCUGUCAGAUUGCCCUUAAAGUGCUUUGGGAUGGACUGAAAUAUGGGGUAAUUUUUUCCAAAAUAAAAUGCUUAUUGAAGACGGAUGAAUCAUUUAGGAUUUUUUUAGGAUUUUUUUUUUUCAUUUUCUCAAACUGAUUUCAAUGCAAACAAUUGCAAAUCAAUGCAAAACAGAAAUGAAUUGGAAAAUGCGUAUGAAAAGCUUUAAAUUGUGUCCAUUCAUUGUGAGGUUAGUGUGUGGACAUCUGAUCAGUCUUGCUGUUGUAAACCCAUAGGUGGCGCUGCUGUAAAGCUUAUUUGGAUUCUGUAGUACUAAUAGUCAAGGCCUUGCUUUAGAUAAUAGUGAUAUUUUGUAAACCACGCAAGAUUAUUAUUUUGUUUUUAUUUGACAUGAUUUAUAGUAAAUGCAUUAUUGUGGGAAAUAAUGCACGUCCAGAAUAAAUGAAAUGAAGGUUUUCAAGGUACCGACCAGAUCGAGAUUACUACGCCAAUGCUUGUGUUUCUAGUUAAUCAGUCAGUAUUUAAACAGGGUUAAAAAUUGAAUUAAGAUAAUAUGUAUUGGAGAAGAAUGACCUUGAUGUAUAAGUUACCACCUAACAUGGAGACACCUUCUGAAGAUGGUGGCUGGAAGGAGAAUAGUGUCCAAAUUGUUGACCCAUCAUAUAACCUAUAUGCUAAUAUUUUGUUUAUUAAUUUUAAUGUUGGUAUGUCUUUUUCACAUUAAUAAAGCACAUAUCCAUCUUGA